CUUUUGAGUUUUUAAAAUUAAUCUAUUUACUUUGAGAUAACUGUAGAUUCACAGGAAGUUGUAAGAAACAACCCAGAGAAAUUACAUCAACCUUUUACCUGGUUCCCCGAAUGGAUCCUUUCUCUGCCCGGUCUCCAUGAUUUCUUCUGGUACCAGCAUAUCCAGUAAUCGUCAACGCUGAAGCGAGAGGCGAAUGACAUCAGCAAGAUGAUGGAAUAGGAGGUCCCCCACUCGUGUCCUCACUCAGCAACCAUGAUUUGGCAGCCAUCCAUGGAGAAAAGUGCCUUUGUGGGAGCUUCUGGAUCCAGGUCGCAGCCCGGAGGCGAGCAGAACACCAGAGUUAGUUGUGUCAUCUUUGGAUCCAGAGAAGUGGCUGGGGAUCCUGGGCCCUGAUGCUCAUUUGAGUCUGUGUGGCAGAGCAAGAGAUACCUGGGGGCUCCCUGGCUUUGGCUGGUCCAGAAUAUCCUGUAUCCACCAACACUGAUGUCACUGCUGGCAGUGCAGUUAUCCACAGGCCAUUCCUGGGCACACAGUAGGGACGGCCCGCAGUCUGCUUCUCCAUCCGCCUGUUCAUGAGCGUUUGGGUCUUUUACACUUUGGGCUAUUUAUACAUAAAGCCGUAAUUUAUGUUAGAAGUAAAUUUAUUUGUUUGCAUUUAUUUAAUAUGUGAAUUUCAUAUAUUAAGUAGUUAAAAUAAAAUUUAAUAUGUAACUUUAUGUUAUAAAUGAAUAAACCUGCUGAGUAUUUGUGUACAAGUCUUUGAAUGAGUAUGCACUUUAUUUUUUCUUGGGGAAACAGAGCAGCUGGGUCUUAAGAAGCUAUAUAUUUACCCCUUUUAGAAACUGCUCAACUGUUUUCCUAACUAGUUUGUCGAUUCCGUG
Long non-coding RNA from Equus caballus (horse), 881 nucleotides. RefSeq lists it as uncharacterized. NCBI's taxonomy places the organism in Eukaryota, Metazoa, Chordata, Mammalia, Perissodactyla, Equidae. The record is from RefSeq and is a predicted model, not a curated record.